Acyrthosiphon pisum (pea aphid) is the source of this 1348-nucleotide RNA transcript. RefSeq lists it as uncharacterized. The record is from RefSeq and is a predicted model, not a curated record. NCBI's taxonomy places the organism in Eukaryota, Metazoa, Arthropoda, Insecta, Hemiptera, Aphididae. The transcript has 3 exons.
UACGCGGAUCGGUCCGUUAUCAGUGCAUUCACAAGGAAACGGGAAAAUAACUAUGUAAUAACAAAGUGAAUUACAUGAAAAAAGUCGUCUCAAAAGUAGCAAGUAUCCCCCGGUGUUGUUUAUUGUCUUCGAUUGAACGUCUCAUCGAACUACACAAUCGUCUGUGAUUCUUUGUAUACAUUUGUUGAUCUAGCCAGAUAUCAAAUUCUUCAAUUAUGGUUUGUGUUCCAUGUGUGCUUGUGCCGUUGUUGCUCUUCUUGUGGGGUAUUAUCAAGCCUAUGUUAAACUGGUUCAGAACACCAGUGGAAAAUUCUGAAGACCCAAAUAAUGCUGGCGAUGAUCAAGUUUGUUCAUUGCUAUCAUCCUGUCCGUGCAUUAAUAAAAACAUAAAAUCACCUAUGGAUCAAGGAGACAACAAGACAAACAAGAGUGAAACAAUACUUAAAGAAUCACUUGAAACAUCCGAUACCAACAAAAAGGACCUUUAAAUGCACUAUUUACAAUAGUUAUAAGAACGUAAAAAUUCAUUUUUUUUUUAUAUCUGUGAUUGAAUUAUUUUAUGGUUCUAUUAGUUUACACAAUCAUUUUUAUUUAAGAGCUGUUGUUUAUAUUUAAUACAAUGUUAUAUUCUAUAUUUUAAUGUCUUGUGUUUGUUUCUCAAUCAUAAAUUCAAUAAACCAUUUUAAGUUAGAACCAACAAGUUUUACUGAAAAUUAUAUUUUACAUUAGUUACUAGUUUAAAUGUAAUUUGGUAUUGUGUCUAUCAGUUUAUUUUACCUGAAUUUUAUUUACCCUUUGUCAUAUUAUGUUACUUGUAAUAUUUAAUCAUUGUAUAUAACUAAUUUUCAAUAAUAAUAAUUCAAUAUUGUUUCAUCUUCAAAUACUCAAUGAUUGAUUACGAUUCAAAUUUAUUAAUGUAAAAAUAGGAAUUUUACCUUUUUAUGUUGAUAUUGUUUAGUUGUGUAUACAUAAUGGGAAAAUAUAUUAAUAACUAAAUUAAUAUUCCUCUCCACUUAUAUUUAACAUAUCUUUAGCAUUUUAUUGUUUAAUAGAAUGUAAUUGAAAUUAAUAAUUCUUUAAUUUUAUCAUAAUCUGUUGACUUUUUUAAUGAUGCCUUAGUCUUUAUUUUAAUUUAAUGUACAACCAAUUCAUUAUUAUUGUAUUCCAUAUUUAUUAGGUACCUAUAAACAUUUUAAUACCUGUUUUAUAAUUGUAGCAGUCAGUAUAUUUGAAUCAAUUUUACAUUAAUGUAAUCGGUGAGAGUAAUAAUUUACUAUGUAAUUAAUCACAUAUCGUUUUUAAUAUAAAUUUAAAAAUUGUAUUGUUAAUAAAUUUAUCAAAAAUGUAA